RNAcentral lists this ribosomal RNA (434 nucleotides) under uncultured bacterium. Its description in RNAcentral is "partial 16S ribosomal RNA". It matches the Rfam family "Bacterial small subunit ribosomal RNA", at positions 29 to 507 of the family's 1533-position model. The record is from RNAcentral.
AGCGAACGCUGGCGGCAGGCCUAACACAUGCAAGUCGAACGAACCUUUCGGGGUUAGUGGCGGACGGGUGAGUAACACGUGGGAACGUGCCUUUAGGUUCGGAAUAACUCAGGGAAACUUGUGCUAAUACCGAACGUGCCCUUCGGGGGAAAGAUUAAUCGCCUUUAGAGCGGCCCGCGUCUGAUUAGCUAGUUGGUUGAGGUAAUGGCUCACCAAGGCGACGAUCAGUAGCUGGUCUGAGAGGAUGAUCAGCCACAUUGGGACUGAGACACGGCCCAAACUCCUACGGGAGGCAGCAGUGGGGAAUCUUGCGCAAUGGGCGAAAGCCUGACGCAGCCAUGCCGCGUGAAUGAUGAAGGUCUCAGGAUUGUAAAAUUCUUUCACCGGGGACGAUAAUGACGGUACCCGGAGAAGAAGCCCCGGCUAACUUCGUG